RNAcentral lists this long non-coding RNA (736 nucleotides) under Homo sapiens (human). RNAcentral's name for it is "novel transcript". The record is from RNAcentral. Lineage: Eukaryota; Metazoa; Chordata; Mammalia; Primates; Hominidae.
GGCAUUAUGCAAAUGAGAAGCUUUCCUUCUCUUCACCUCAUCUCCUGAUCUGCACAAAAGUGACUGUAGGACCCAGUGUUGUAGAUGAGCAUGAGAGUGUGGAGCAGAGUCGGCGAGCGCAAGUCGAGCCCAUCAACCUGGACAGCUGUCUCCGUGCUUUCACCGGUGAGGAAGAGCUAGGGGAAGAUGAGAUGUACUACUGUUCCAAGUGUAAGACCCACUGCUUAGCAACAAAGAAGCUGGAUCUCUGGAGGCUUCCACCCUUCCUGAUUAUUCACCUUAAGUGAUUUCAGUUUGUAAAUGAUCAGUGGAUAAAAUCACAGAAAAUUGUCAAAUUUCCUCGGGAAAGUUUUGACCUGAGUGCUUUUUUGGUACCACGAGACCCGGCUCUCUGCCAGCAUCAACCACUCACACCCCAGGGGGAUGAGCUCUCCAAGCCCAGGAUUCUGGCAAGAGAGGUGAAGAAAGUGGAUGUGCAGAGUUUGGCUGGGGAAUAGGACAUGCUCCUGAGCAAAAGCCCAUCCUCACUCAGCGCUAACAUCAGCAGCAGCCCAAAAGGUUCUCCUUCUUCAUCAAGAAAAAGUGGAACCAGCUGUCCCUCCAGCAAAAACAGCAGCCCUAAUAGCAGCCCACGGACUUUGGGGAGGAGCAAAGGGAGGCUCUGGCUGCCCCAGAUUGGCAGCAAAAAUAAACUGUCAAGUAGUAAGAAGAACUUGGAUGCCAGCAAAGAGAAUGG